AACCAAUAAAGUUUUCUUUAUUGGGGUUGCGGACAUAUCAUAACGAAGAGGUAUCGUAAUUGAAGAGGUUUGGAAAGACCCACCACAGAAGGUAAUAGUCCUGUAUGUUAAACGAGAAGACUUUAGAUAUGAUCCAGAGUACCACGGGACACGUGAAACCCUGUGGGAAGCAGGAGGGACCCCCCUCCAAGGCUAAAUACUACCUAGUGACCGAUAGCGUAUAGUACCGUGAGGGAAAGGUGAAAAGAACCCCGGGAGGGGAGUGAAAUAGAACCUGAAACCCUGCACUUACAAGCUGUGGAAGCACAUUUCUUGUGU
Molecule: ribosomal RNA, 318 nt
Filed under: Clostridioides difficile
Lineage: Bacteria; Bacillati; Bacillota; Clostridia; Peptostreptococcales; Peptostreptococcaceae
Description: partial 23S ribosomal RNA
Rfam family: Bacterial large subunit ribosomal RNA
Source: RNAcentral